This is a long non-coding RNA of Brienomyrus brachyistius, 3539 nucleotides long. RefSeq lists it as uncharacterized. The transcript is spliced from 2 exons. NCBI's taxonomy places the organism in Eukaryota, Metazoa, Chordata, Actinopteri, Osteoglossiformes, Mormyridae. The record is from RefSeq and is a predicted model, not a curated record.
AGUUGGUGCUCAAAUCGAAAAAUAAGCCCGUACGCGUAUAACGGGCACGCAACUAUAAAUUCGUCCAAAAUAAAUACACUCGUUCAUUCUUCUUUCAGCUGCAUUCUUUCUUCUUAUCCACUCCAGUGUUACGGGGAAAUGCUCCAGGAUCUCAGUGGCCUGGCCAAAAACUUGGGCGCUGAGUGCCUUUACUACUGCGUAUUUUGCAAUAGGUAUUAUAUCACUUGUCCUUCUUACAAUAUGUACUUGUGUCAGUUCCUGUGUACAAUUGGUGGGGUUUCUGUGUAAUAUAUAUAUAAAUAAUGAAAGGGUUGGGUCUCCAUGUAAUCUGUUCCAUAAUGGAGCUGAAAUAAGUUGUUUUUGAUUGGAACCUUUAGUCUGGUGAAUGAGCACAGUACAUAUAGUCAGAAAUUCUAACAUGUACAGUUCUCAUAGAAAAUGGAAAAAUCAAGCGAGGUUAAUUUAAGUUCUGCUUCAUCAAGCAAACUUUUGUGUUUACCUACCAUCACCAAAAUAUUUUGUGUAAACUAAUAACUACAAUGUUUACCUGAAACUUACAAAAAUAUGUUGGAAAAAAGACCCUUUUGUCACUGCUGUAUUAUGUAAUACUGUUACUUAACUGCUAUACGUUGUUAUUUAUUUUGCUGAUAAAUGGAUGAUAUGAAUGAAGUAAUACCUCAGGAAUCACUUACAUGUCCACAGCCCACUUAGGUGCUUGGUUCUCAGGGCGAAAUGUAUGAAGGUUCUAGAAUCUGGGGGAUGGAACUCAUGGUAGAAACAUUUCUUUUUCUUUGAAAGGGCACCUGAGGUGAUCGGAUUAAACAUUUUGCUGGCACUGCAGACCUUUUGAGCUGUACUUCUGCUGCAGAUCUCAUUGUUUUCUUGUUUUUGGUUGCCAGUUAAAAUUUACCUCUGAAUAACGUUACACAUGUCUCUCUGGCUGUUAAGCUGCACCGUUGCAUGUCUGAUGCUGAUUUGAUCUUUAUGUCCCUAAUUCCCAGAAAUGGGGAAGAAUUAUUAGCCACAAAAACGGGAGACUGACAACACACAUGCUGCAGUGAUGCUGGCUGUAUAUAUCCUUUCAAAGCAGCUGACAGUCCUUAGCCAUGCCCAAAUUGAAUUAAUUUGGCUAAUGCACUGAAAGACAUUACUUAAGCAUAUUAAGAAUAAUUCCUUCACAACCCGCAGCAGCUUGCCUAAUAACAUUCAACAAGCAGCUUGCAAAUGACAAAAACAGCAGUUAAUUUAAUGGCCUGGUCAAGGCAUUAGAAUUUCCCAGGAAUGUAAACAUUAAUAAGAGAACAUGCAUUUAUGUGAUUUAAAAUGAACUGGAAGAUAUAUUUAUAGUCUUUUAUCCCCCACAUAGAGUUGAUUUUGAAAAUAAUGUGCUCAAGCACAUCAGUAUGCCUAAACAAAAAUGACUGUUGCCCCAUAUUCCUGCUGCAUUAGACUACAGCAAAGACUCAAUGGAAAACUGACAAUGAAUCAUUUGACUGUCAAAUGGGUUGGGACCAGUUAGCUAAUACACUUUAUGUCUUGGCAAUCAAUGUGCAUUUGAUUUUCCUAAAUCUGUAAAGGGGAAAAAGACACAGAAGAUAUUCUAUCACCUUAAGUGCCAUUAAAUCACCCCGAUAUUAAAUGUGAAAUCACGUUGUUCAAAAUAGCUGUAUUCUUGGCUGUUUCUGGGAUGCUUUGCCACAUAUAAAGCAGGCUCUUCUGCUGAGCUUUCUGAGAUUACCAUUGUUGUAUAUAACCACAGAAUAACGUCUUUUCUCCAUUGCGAAACAACCUCUGAAAAGAGCGUGACACGUGAAAAGUGAAACUGCUCUUUUCAAACCGUUACAUCCAUCGCAACCAUUUUCAAUAUAGUCAUCUUUACAGUUGAGCACUUUCAAGUCUUACAUUACAGCCUGAUGAUCCAAAACCAGGACUAAAGUAGAUCCCACGCCUGUGUCAUCCAGACUAUUUUAUGAAACGUAGAUUAUUUAUGAGGUGAAAUCUAUCACCUGCUAUCUCCAUGGUCCCUUGUGUCUUAGUGAUGUUUCCUGGAGACCGACUAAAACUUCUUUUAAACUUUUUUUUUUUUUGAUGAGGAAAUAAAGAAUUGCUGUGUUUUUCUGAAGUAUAAACCUCAUGUCUAGAACAGGAAGUUGAGACUUUCUGCGGACAUGCUUAUAUGUCAGAUUUUCUUACAGAAUGCUCAGUAAACUUCCAUCUCUUUUCUGUACCUUAUGCAGGGUUAGGGGGCAAAGGGGGUCCAGAUUCUAUCCUAGAAGCUACAGGCACAAGGCAGGAAAUUCCCAGAAUGUGGCACCAGCCCAUCACAGGACACACUUACAUACCUUUCACACCUAUGGGCAAUUUGGCAACUCAAAAGAACCCUAUUAAUUGUUUUGUUUUCUUUGUUGUUAUUGUGAUGCAUUGUUGUACUGAAGCCUGUAUUGUGUAAUCCUGUAGUACUUAGUUAAUAAUUUAAUUAAUUAAUAAUUGAUUGCCUAAUUAAUUGAUUGAUGGAGUGAUUAAUUGAUAAAUUAAUUGGAAUUAUGAAUGAAUGAAUGGUUUUGUCUUUGGAUUGUGGGGGAAAACCAAGCCCCCAAAUGCAUCCGAAAUGCACAAAGCAGGGGGCAGGACUUGUUCCUCUGAAUGCGUCAGUCUGAAACUGAAAUAAUUUCACAUGUGACUGAGUGAACUUUAAAUCUCUUUAUUUAAUGUUGUUUUCCAAUUGCAUUUGUACAAGAAGCAACUGAAAACAAACUGUGCUGGAUCCUAGGUUUGUGUGUACAGUGUUAUUCUGAUCUCUGCAGAACCAGGCAUCAGCUACAAUACGCCAGCUGGCAUCUCAGUUGUCAUAAUAAUAAUAAUAAUAAUAAUAAUAAUAAUAAUAAUAAUAAAGUGUCCUCCCCCAACUGAGAGAAACGAUGUAAUCGUUACUAAUGCCUGCCUAUGUCUAUAAUACAAAACAAGCUAUGCUGUAUGUUGUAAUAUAAGGCUCUUUUGUUCUCAGGGUUACCUUCCAGACAGUAGUUUCAAGCUAAUGAGCACAUUGUGAAUAUAGUCAUUGUGUUCCUUGGCUAGAAUGUACAGAAAAGGAAUGUUAUCGUAUCAAUUUUUUUUUUGGCAAACGAAAGGUAAUGUUUCACUGCAAGAAGGAACAGUUUAUAAGUAAUUUAUCCCUCUCAUCUGACAUUGCAAUGCAGUUUGCAAUUUCACAACACAAUUAGUAAUUAGUAAAGUAAUGACAUAAAGAGCGCAGGUUUGGCACAGUGGGCAACAUCACAUGCUUUCACCUGCCGGGUUGUGUGGACCCCCUAAUUUGUGGUUAAGCCAACUGGCAUAUCUGAAUUGCUUGUUUGUGAAAAGACCUGCUCAAACUUUGGGCGUAUGCUUACAAUGCAAGUGACACAAAUGCUUGCAGCAUCAAGAUUUUGUGUCUGCAUAUACACUGACCACGCUGAUUCUUAAUACUGCAUGUUUGUAUCAUGGAAUAUUGCCUUUAAUUUACAAAUUAUUGUUUCAUUCGAAUAAAGGGUUUCAAAAGA